GCUGGCAGCCACGGGUGGCACCAAGCUGGUGAAGAGGGAAUAUUUGAAAGUUAAUGUGCCGCAAACAUGGUGGGUGUCAUGGUGAGAGGGAGGGAGGGGGGAAACAUGGAUGUGGGCGGGAGGAGAUCGGAUGGAUGGAGCCGGGAAUGAAGGGCAGGAGGGAUGGACAAGGGUAGGAUCUAGAGGAUGGGUGAGAGAAAGAGGGAUGGAUGGAGAGAAUGGAGGGAGGGAGAGAUGGAUGGAUGGAUGGGGAUGGACAGAGAGAUUAAGAGGAGGGUGGAUGGGGUAGAUGAAGGGAUGAAGAGGAGGGUGUAUGGAGAAAUGGAAGGAGGGAUGAAGAUGGUGGAUGGAUGGGGUAGAUGGAGGGAUGAAGGGGACGGUGGAGGAAAGGAAGAAGGGAUGAAGAUGGUAGAUGGAUGGGACAGAUGAAGGGAUGAAGAGGAGGGUGAUGGAGGAAUGGAAGGAGGGAUGAAGAGAGUGGAUGGAUGGGGUAGAUGGAGGGAUGAAGAGGACGGUGGAGGAAAGGAAGGAGGGAUGAAGAUGGUAGAUGGAUGGGACAGAUGAAGGGAUGAAGAGGAGGGUGAUGGAGGAAUGGAAGGAGGGAUGAAGAGAGUGGAUGAAGGGAUGAAGAGGACGAUGGAGGAAUGGAAGGAGGGAUGAAGAGGGUGGAUGGAGGGAUGAAGAGGACGAUGGAGGAAUGGAAGGAGGGAUGAAGAGGGUGGAUGGAGGGAUGAAGAGGAGGGUGGAUGGAAGAAUGGAAGGAGGGAUGAAGAUGGUAGAUGGAUAGAGGGAUGAAGAGGACGGUAGAGGAAAGGAAGGAUGAAGAUGAUGGAGAGAUGAAGAGGAAGAUGGAUAGAAGCACUGACUCUCUCUCUCGUUCCCCCCAUCGGCACGGGUCGGCGCAGCGAAGAAAUCCUGUCCUACAUUCUGGUGCAGGCCCCGCCGCCCACGCCCUCCGCCCCCCGGCCCCGCUUCUCCCUCUAUCUCUCUGCCCAACUGCAGUAUGGGGUGGUGCGGGUCUACAGCCGACAGUGCCACUACCUCAUCGAGGAGAUCCAGCACACCUUGGAGCGUCUAAGCCGGGCCCAGCAGCAGAUCCGCAUCGACAUGGGGGACCUUGAACAGUGAGUCAUGGGGAGGGGUCUGGGGCCCCCCAUAACUCCUGGGACACUCCUGAACCCCCACAGCACCUAGGAUAUGCCUGUAACCCCUCUCCCAGGUAGGGGCAUCAGUAUGGAGGUGGGAGGCCAAUUGGCAAGGGAGAGGCAUGGGGGGAGCAUAGCAGUGGUGAGGGGGUCAGUACGGAGGAGGAGAUUAG
This 1318-nucleotide long non-coding RNA is filed under the name Gopherus evgoodei (Goodes thornscrub tortoise). RNAcentral's name for it is "lncRNA (ENSGEVG00005018933.1)". The record is from RNAcentral. Lineage: Eukaryota; Metazoa; Chordata; Testudines; Testudinidae.